RNAcentral lists this ribosomal RNA (273 nucleotides) under uncultured prokaryote. RNAcentral describes it as "partial 16S ribosomal RNA". It matches the Rfam family "Bacterial small subunit ribosomal RNA", at positions 524 to 796 of the family's 1533-position model. The record is from RNAcentral.
AACGUAGGAGGCGAGCGUUAUCCGGAUUUACUGGGUGUAAAGCGCGUGCAGGCGGUUCUGCAAGUGGGACGUGAAAGCGCCCGGCUCAACCGGGCGAGGACGUACCGAACUGCGGGACUGGAGGCAGGUAGAGGCGUGUGGAAUUCCGGGUGUAGUGGUGAAAUGCGUAGAGAUCCGGAGGAACACCAGUGGCGAAGGCGACACGCUGGGCCUGACCUGACGCUCAGACGCGAAAGCAUGGGGAGCGAACGGGAUUAGAAACCCUAGUAGUCC